AAGCACGUAGGUGGGUUUGUAAGUCAGAUGUGAAAGCCUUCUGUUCAACGGGAGAAUUGCAUCUGAAACUACAGACCUUGAGUAUAGGAGGGGAGAGUGGAACUUCUGGUGGAGCGGUGAAAUGCGUAGAUAUCAGAAGGAACGCCGGCGGCGAAAAGCGAUUCUCUGGCCUAUUACUGACACUCAGUGUGCGAAAGCUAGGGGAGCAAACGGGAUUAGAUACCCCGGUAGUCCUAGCCGUAAACGAUGGGCACUAAGUAGAGGGGUUUU
This 270-nucleotide ribosomal RNA is filed under the name uncultured Planctomycetales bacterium. RNAcentral describes it as "partial 16S ribosomal RNA". It matches the Rfam family "Bacterial small subunit ribosomal RNA", at positions 567 to 832 of the family's 1533-position model. The record is from RNAcentral. Lineage: Bacteria; Pseudomonadati; Planctomycetota; Planctomycetia; Planctomycetales.